This is a long non-coding RNA of Epinephelus fuscoguttatus (brown-marbled grouper), 853 nucleotides long. RefSeq lists it as uncharacterized. The transcript is spliced from 4 exons. The record is from RefSeq and is a predicted model, not a curated record. NCBI's taxonomy places the organism in Eukaryota, Metazoa, Chordata, Actinopteri, Perciformes, Serranidae.
CCCAGGCCGGACGUCCCGUAGCCCUGGGUGGAGAGGGACGCCGGGGACUGGUUCAGAUGGCUUGUGACCGCGUUUGUGCUCAUCGGACUGAGAGUUGAGCCAGGGCCUGACAACUGGUGGUGCAUGGGAGCGAGAGCCAGCCAGUCUGCUCCCAUCAGCCUCAUACGGGCCUGCACCAAAAUUCACCCACAAUAUUUACAAGGGGAGUUCCCAACCGAGAGACACCGAGCAGCCGAGGACUUAAGCAAGGCACCGGAGCUGCAGUGUGCACGCACCCAGGGAUGAGGAGAAAUUAAGGGGGAGGAAAAAGGCAAAUAGGCCGGUGCUGCUGAUGGAGACUUUCACCUGACAAGAAGAAGAUGACAGAAGAAAAAUGUGAAGAUUUCGAUCAGAGGAAGCGGCUGAGUGGAUCAUAAUAAAGCUCCGGAUUUCUUUUAACAAGCAAACUGCAGAGGGAAAGUUUUGCUGCCUGCUUUGAGAGGAAAGGAGCAGCAACACGUUCAGGAGUUCGCCAACAAACAAACGGAUGCAAUUAAACGCACUCGCCUUCAGAUCAUCAAUGAGGAGAGCAAAGUCAAGACUGGUGGAAGAGGCGACAAGGACGAAUGGAAGACGGGAGAAGACUCUGCUGCCUCAAGGUUAAACUUGAACUGUGUUCAGAGCCUGACUUCACACAAUCUGGAUACUUCUGCAAACACACAUCACUGGCUGUUUCUUUAUAUUGAGCAUCCUCAUUUUACAACCUGAUAUAACUCUUAAUUGAUGUUGUAUGGUAAUGUUUCCUCUGUUUCUUUCUGCCACCGCACUGUUUUGGAGUGAUUAAAAAAUAAUUUGCAAAUAAAGACUAUCAUUG